UUUGUUACUUCAAACCAAUCGGACUUCGGUCUGACAUCAAGUGAUAUUGAACAAUUUAGCUGAUCGCACGGUCUAAGAACCGGCGACAUAUCCUUCAAAUGUCUGCCUUAUCAACUUUCGAUGGUAGAUUAUGCGCCUACCAUGGUUGUAACGGGUAACGGAGAAUCAGGGUUUGAUUCCGGAGAGGGAGCCUGAGAAACGGCUACCACAUCCAAGGAAGGCAGCAGGCACGCAAAUUACCCACUCCCGGCACGGGGAGGUAGUGACGAAAAAUAACAAGCUGGUCUCAAUGAGUUCCRGCAUUGUAAUGGGAACAAUUUAAAUCUUUUAUCGAGGAUCUAUUGGAGGGCAAGUCUGGUGCCAGCAGCCGCGGUAAUUCCAGCUCCAAUAGCGUAUAUUAAAGUUGUUGCGGUUAAAAAGCUCGUAGUUGGAUCUAGGAUUAGGGCUACGGUCGUUCAGCUUGGACGUACUGUAUGCCCGACUCCUUUUCUCUAGUAUUCGAUUGUUGCUCUUAAAUGAGUGACUUUAGUUGCUGGAACUUUUACCUUGAAAAAAUUGAAGUGCUCAAAGCAGGUU
RNAcentral lists this ribosomal RNA (576 nucleotides) under uncultured eukaryote. RNAcentral describes it as "SSU rRNA". It matches the Rfam family "Eukaryotic small subunit ribosomal RNA", at positions 205 to 797 of the family's 1831-position model. The record is from RNAcentral.